AGUGUGCCCUUGGCCGGCGUGCCUAAUAUAGGCAAGUCGAGCGAAUGGAUUAAGAGCUUGCUCUUAUGAGGUUAGCGACGAACGGGUGAGUAACACGUGGGUAACCUGCCCAUAAGACUGGGAUAACUCCGGGAAACCGGGGCUAAUACCGGAUAACAUUUUGAACCGCAUGGUUCGAAAUUGAAAGGCGGCUUCGGCUGUCACUUAUGGAUGGACCCGCGUCGCAUUAGCUAGUUGGUGAGGUAACGGCUCACCAAGGCAACGAUGCGUAGCCGACCUGAGAGGGUGAUCGGCCACACUGGGACUGAGACACGGCCCAGACUCCUACGGGAGGCAGCAGUAGGGAAUCUUCCGCAAUGGGCGAAAGUCUGACGGAGCAACGCCGCGUGAGUGAUGAAGGCUUUCGGGUCGUAAAACUCUGUUGUUAGGGAAGAACAAGUGCUAUUUUGAAUAAGCUGGCACCUUGACGGUACCUAACCAGAAAGCCACGGCUAACUACGUGCCAGCAGCCGCGGUAAUACGUAGGUGGCAAGCGUUAUCCGGAAUUAUUGGGCGUAAAGCGCGCGCAGGUGGUUUCUUAAGUCUGAUGUGAAAGCCCACGGCUCAACCGUGGAGGGUCAUUGGAAACUGGGAGACUUGAGUGCAGAAGAGGAAAGUGGAAUUCCAUGUGUAGCGGUGAAAUGCGUAGAGAUAUGGAGGAACACCAGUGGCGAAGGCGACUUUCUGUCUGUAACUGACACUGAGGCGCGAAAGCGUGGGGAGC
RNAcentral lists this ribosomal RNA (763 nucleotides) under uncultured bacterium. Its description in RNAcentral is "bacterial SSU rRNA". It matches the Rfam family "Bacterial small subunit ribosomal RNA", at positions 28 to 769 of the family's 1533-position model. The record is from RNAcentral.